AUUGAACGCUGGCGGCAUGCCUUACACAUGCAAGUCGAACGGAAGCACGGGGGCAGCCCUGGUGGCGAGUGGCGAACGGGUGAGUAAUACAUAGGAACGUGCCCGGUCGUGGGGGAUAACGUAGCGAAAGGUACGCUAAUACCGCAUACGAUCUGAGGAUGAAAGCGGGGGACCUUCGGACCUCGCGCGAUCGGAUGGGCCUAUGUCAGAUUAGCUAGUUGGUGGGGUAAAGGCCUACCAAGACGACGAUCUGUAGCUGGUCUGAGAGGACGACCAGCCACACUGGAACUGAGACACGGUCCAGACUCCUACGGGAGGCAGCAGUGGGGAAUUUUGGACAAUGGGCGAAAGCCUGAUCCAGCCAUGCCGCGUGCAUGACGAAGGCCUUCGGAUUGUAAACUGCUUUUAUUCGGGACGAAGAGGCGUUGGCUAAUACCUGGGGGUCUUGACGGUACCGAAAGAAUAAGCACCGGCUAACUACGUG
Molecule: ribosomal RNA, 484 nt
Filed under: uncultured bacterium
Lineage: Bacteria
Description: partial 16S ribosomal RNA
Rfam family: Bacterial small subunit ribosomal RNA
Source: RNAcentral